This 103-nucleotide small RNA is filed under the name bovine gut metagenome. RNAcentral describes it as "RT-5 RNA". It matches the Rfam family "RT-5 RNA". Rfam says of the family: Clostridium (Firmicutes). Environment (Cow rumen (57)) The record is from RNAcentral.
GCGCCUGCGGCGGACCCGGCGCGGACUUUCAUACGGCUUCGCAGGCAGCCUGUCCGCGUACGGUCUUGUAGCUCCCGAAACUUUUCGGGAUUUAAUGUCUUCU